This 590-nucleotide ribosomal RNA is filed under the name uncultured eukaryote. RNAcentral's name for it is "bacterial SSU rRNA". It matches the Rfam family "Eukaryotic small subunit ribosomal RNA", at positions 536 to 1123 of the family's 1831-position model. The record is from RNAcentral.
AACGAGGAACGAUCGGAGGGCAAGUCUGGUGCCAGCAGCCGCGGUAAUUCCAGCUCCAAUAGCGUACGUUAAAGUUGCUGCAGUUAAAAAGCUCGUAGUUGAACGUUCGGGUUCCGCGGGACGGGGCCGCCCCGCGAGGGACGGCGCCGCCCCGGGGCUCGUGAUAUCUCAUCUCGCCGCCCGUCGCGAGGCGGACGGAGGGAUGGAUGAGGUUACCUGGAAAAAAUCGGGGCGAUCUAGGCGGGCGAACCUCGCCAACGAACGAUCGGACAUGGGAUAACGGAAGAGGGCGUCGGCUCGACUUCGUCGGUUCCUCGGGCCGAGGCACGUACGGUGAAUAGGGACGGUCGGGGCCGCCCGUACCGGGUCGUGAGAGGUGAAAUUCUAGGAUCGACCCGAGACGAACCGCCGCGAAAGCAUUCGGCAAGGACGCUUUCAUUAAUCAAGAACGAAAGUCGGGGGGAUCGAAGACGAUCAGAUACCGUCGUAGUCCCGACCGUAAACGAUGCCGACCGAGGGCCCGGAGGAGUUACGUACGACCCUCCGGGCCCUCCCGCGAGAAAUCAGGAGUAUUCGGGUUCCGGGGGGAG